GGACGGGUGAGUAACGCGUGAGCAAUCUGCCUUUCAGAGGGGGACAACAGUUGGAAACGACUGCUAAUACCGCAUAACGUAUCGGUGCGGCAUCGCACUGAUACCAAAGAUUAUAUCGCUGAGAGAUGAGCUCGCGUCCAAUUAGCUAGAUGGUGGGGUAAUGGCUCACCAUGGCGACGAUUGGUAGCCGGACUGAGAGGUUGAACGGCCACAUUGGGACUGAGACACGGCCCAGACUCCUACGGGAGGCAGCAGUGGGGGAUAUUGCGCAAUGGGGGCAACCCUGACGCAGCAACGCCGCGUGAAGGAUGAAGGUUUUCGGAUUGUAAACUUCUUUUAUUAAGGACGAAAAUUGACGGUACUUAAUGAAUAAGCUCCGGCUAACUACGUGCCAGCAGCCGCGGUAAUACGUAGGGAGCAAGCGUUGUCCGGAUUUACUGGGUGUAAAGGGUGCGUAGGCGGCUUUGCAAGUCAGAUGUGAAAUCUAUGGGCUCAACCCAUAAACUGCAUUUGA
RNAcentral lists this ribosomal RNA (514 nucleotides) under uncultured bacterium. RNAcentral describes it as "bacterial SSU rRNA". It matches the Rfam family "Bacterial small subunit ribosomal RNA", at positions 100 to 630 of the family's 1533-position model. The record is from RNAcentral.